Molecule: ribosomal RNA, 254 nt
Filed under: uncultured bacterium
Lineage: Bacteria
Description: partial 16S ribosomal RNA
Rfam family: Bacterial small subunit ribosomal RNA
Source: RNAcentral
UACGUAGGGUGCGAGCGUUGCCCGGAUUUAUUGGGCGUAAAGGGCGCGUAGGCGGCUCGGCACGUCCGUUGUGAAAUCGCCCGGCUCAACUGGGCGGGGUCAGCGGAUACGGUCGAGCUUGAGCAAGCUAGGGGGCAAUGGAAUUCCCGGUGUAGUGGUGGAAUGCGUAGAUAUCGGGAGGAACACCAGUGGCGAAGGCGGUUGCCUGGAGCUUUGCUGACGCUGAGGCGCGAAAGCGUGGGGGAGCGAUCCGG